CCAAUAGCGUAUAUUAAAGUUGUUGCAGUUAAAAAGCUCGUAGUUGAAUUUCGGGGUUCUUCCGUUGGUCAGGCUAACAAGUCUGUACUAGCGUGUAGAAUCUCUACCUUCUGGGGAACCAUCAUGUUAUUAAUUUAGCGUGGUGGGAAACCAGGACCUUUACCUUGAAAAAAUUAGAGUGUUCAAAGCAGGCUUACGUCUGAAUACAUUAGCAUGGAAAAAUAAAAUAGGACGGUGGUCCUGUUUUGUUGGUUUCUGAAUCACCGUAAUGAUUAAUAGGGAUAGUUGGGGGCAUUAGUAUUCAAUUGUCAGAGGUGAAAUUCUUGGAUUUAUUGAAGACUAACUUCUGCGAAAGCAUUUGCCAAGGAUGUUUUCAUUAAUCAAGAACGAAAGUUAGGGGAUCGAAGACGAUCAGAUACCGUCGUAGUCUUAACCAUAAACUAUGCCGACUAGGGAUCGGACGAUGUUAAAUUUUAUUGACUCGUUCGGCGCCUUACG
RNAcentral lists this unclassified non-coding RNA (498 nucleotides) under uncultured Scutellospora. RNAcentral describes it as "SSU rRNA". It matches the Rfam family "Eukaryotic small subunit ribosomal RNA", at positions 591 to 1092 of the family's 1831-position model. The record is from RNAcentral. Lineage: Eukaryota; Fungi; Glomeromycota; Glomeromycetes; Diversisporales; Gigasporaceae.